UUCCUUUAAACAAUGAAGAAGGUUUUGAGAAACCUCUCUUGACAGAUCCUGCUUGAAAGAUCCUGCUCAGCUGACUUUGAGGCCUUUGAGAUGAGACUGACCCAGCUGAAUUCCUUAUUCCGGGUUCUGCCGUGGAUUUUUAGUCUUGGAGAGAAGGAGCAUGGCCUGCCUUUCAUGGUUGAGGGCCUGCGGCUCAGAGAUGCAGGGAUUUGCUCUAGAAGAGCAGCAGAGUCCACCUUCUGGGACACCGAGGAUUGCUGCUCUUCCAUUAUACCAAGGAUGGACAAACUGGCCUGUGGGCCCUUGCAGCUGAAGAUAGUUUUAACCUUUUUAAAGGGCUGAAGAAAUGAGAAGGAGGAGGUGGAGAAGAAGAGGACUAUGCAAGAGAGAGCUUCAGUGGCCUGCAAGAGUAAAAUAUCUACUAUUUGAUCUUUUACAGAAAAAGUUUGCUAACCUCUGAAUUAAUACCAUUAAAAAAAAAUUCAGUUUCUCUGCCUGGAAAA
RNAcentral lists this long non-coding RNA (503 nucleotides) under Bos taurus (domestic cattle). RNAcentral describes it as "long non-coding RNA NONBTAT005791". The record is from RNAcentral. Lineage: Eukaryota; Metazoa; Chordata; Mammalia; Artiodactyla; Bovidae.